GUGGGGAAUCUUGCGCAAUGGGCGAAAGCCUGACGCAGCCAUGCCGCGUGAAUGAUGAAGGUCUUAGGAUUGUAAAAUUCUUUCACCGGGGACGAUAAUGACGGUACCCGGAGAAGAAGCUCCGGCUAACUUCGUGCCAGCAGCCGCGGUAAUACGAAGGGGGCUAGCGUUGCUCGGAAUUACUGGGCGUAAAGGGCGCGUAGGCGGACAGCUUAGUCAGAGGUGAAAGCCCAGGGCUCAACCUUGGAAUUGCCUUUGAUACUGGCUGUCUUGAGUUUGGGAGAGGUGAGUGGAACUCCGAGUGUAGAGGUGAAAUUCGUAGAUAGUCGGAAGAACACCAGUGGCGAAGGCGACUCACUGGCCCAAUACUGACGCUGAGGCGCGAAAGCGUGGGGAGCAAACAGGAUUAGAAACCCGGGUAGUCC
Molecule: ribosomal RNA, 425 nt
Filed under: uncultured bacterium
Lineage: Bacteria
Description: partial 16S ribosomal RNA
Rfam family: Bacterial small subunit ribosomal RNA
Source: RNAcentral